RNAcentral lists this unclassified non-coding RNA (292 nucleotides) under Melaleuca maxwellii. The record is from RNAcentral. Lineage: Eukaryota; Viridiplantae; Streptophyta; Magnoliopsida; Myrtales; Myrtaceae.
CAUUUUCGUUUUUUCCCCCCCGGGGGGGCCCGGUGUUUCGGCUCAAAACCCCUAGGGAUUUGCCGGGGGUGUCGGGCUCGGAAAGAGUUUUCCGAAGAGAAAUCACGGGCCCCGGGAGUCCAUCGGGAUCGAAAGUUAUUGAGAAAUCCCGAUUUUUGUUUUUUGUUGUAUGGAAGUAGCGGUCUUUUAAAUGCUCGGAAAUUGCGGGACGGGCCCUUGAAAGAGGGAAGUUGAACGCUGCAGGCAUUUCUCGAGAAGAGACUUCAAGUAAAUUUGCAAUGCAUAACAUGAC